AUUGGAGCCAACAAGUUGGGGCACUCGAAUCUGGGCACAGAGAUAUUUUGGUAGACGAGCCCCCCGAAUUCCUGCUUAAUGUUUCGAGCUCCAGCCGUAUCCAGCACCAUAAUUCUAAUGAGAGAUGUUACUAUUUCAGGACUUUCCUGCCCCAUCACGGCACGAUCUUCUAUGAAUUUUGGAGUGGGAGGGCAGUGCUGAUAAGGCUGGGGUCAUUACCCAUUGAACUGAGCGGAGGCUACCUAUGCAAAAGACUUGUGAGCUACACCAGACUUGGUCAAAAUCUUCUGUGAGCAAUUUUUGACGUUCCUUACCACAUUUCUCUAUGAAGGGUGCAGUAUCUUUCUGGGGAGCUAUUUUGACGGCUGCUGUCUGAUGAACGGGAGGUAGGUUCGCACGAUUCAGCCGCAUUCCAGAUCCUCUUCUGCAACAGGCUUCUCAAAUCCUUCAUCCAGGACUUGAACACUGAUUCACAUCAAUCCGCUAAACUAACUACUCCCUGUAGCUGUGUUGUUGAUUUUCGACGCUCUUUCUAUGAUUGCCUCCGCAAGGCUGGCUGAACAGUCCACGCAUCUGACGAGCUUCAAAACCACUCACUGAUUCACCAGCUCCCAAUCCGACGUCUCUGCCCGCUCGCGAUCGCUCGAUGCGUGCCUGCACUCUUCGACUGCAGUGUUUGACCUCGGAAUCAUCGCCCCGGCGCACCGGAGGACGAAUCUGCUGCAUCUGAGUGGGCAAAACUGAUGGAGAUCCCUGAUUGAACUGUGACGAGGCGUGAGUGAGGCCCACAGUUUCGAAGCCAGAAACUGGUGUCCAUGUCGUAUCAUGUUCUUUUUAUUUUAUUUUAUUGCACAACGGGCCAAAACCCCAUGUUUUAGGGUUUAGGGUAACAAGGCUACUUGUCUUUGAACACCCAUUAGAUUAGGGCAGAUUGGGAGUGUAAGGAAUGUGGCAAAUGGAGCAUUGGUUAUUUGGUGGAUACUUUAUUAUUAAAUCAAAAUUAAAAUAAAAAACCAUUCAUUGGUGGUAACAUUUCAAAGUCAAUUUGAACUGCCUCUCUAAAACUGCAUUGCAAUUUUAUUUUCUUAUAUUUUGAUGUUGAUUUUUUUUAAUUUUUAAUUUUUAAUUUCAACUAUUUUUUUUAAUUUUUAUUUUUUUCAUGAUUUGUCUAUAAAUGACAACUUCCAACUUACAAGUAUGUAUUUUGGGCAUUCUACAUGAA
This is a non-coding RNA of Physcomitrium patens, 1222 nucleotides long. Lineage: Eukaryota; Viridiplantae; Streptophyta; Bryopsida; Funariales; Funariaceae. The record is from RefSeq and is a predicted model, not a curated record.